GUGUCAGCAGCCGCGGUAAUACGUAGGGGGCAAGCGUUGUCCGGAAUCAUUGGGCGUAAAGAGCGUGUAGGCGGCCAGAAAAGUCCGCUGUGAAAACUCGAGGCUCAACUUCGAGCUGUCGGUGGAAACUUUCUGGCUAGAGUCCGGAAGAGGAGAAUGGAAUUCCUGGUGUAGCGGUGAAAUGCGCAGAUAUCAGGAAGAACACCCGUGGCGAAGGCGGUUCUCUGGGACGGUACUGACGCUGAGACGCGAAAGCGUGGGGAGCGAACAGGAUUAGAUACCCUAGUAGUCC
RNAcentral lists this ribosomal RNA (292 nucleotides) under uncultured bacterium. RNAcentral's name for it is "partial 16S ribosomal RNA". It matches the Rfam family "Bacterial small subunit ribosomal RNA", at positions 505 to 796 of the family's 1533-position model. The record is from RNAcentral.